AGUGAACGCGGCGGCGUGCCUAAUACAUGCAAGUCGAACGGAAUUUAAAAGAGCUUGCUCUUUUAAAUUUAGUGGCGCACGGGUGAGUAAUAUAUAGCUAAUCUGCCCCUUGCUGGAGGACAACAGUUAGAAAUGACUGCUAAUACUCCAUACUCCUUUUUACCAUAAGAUAAAUCGGGAAAGAAUUUCGGCAAGGGAUGAGACUAUAUCGUAUCAGCUAGUCGGUGGGGUAACGGCCUACCGAGGCUAUGACGCGUAACUGGUCUGAGAGGAUGAUCAGUCACAUUGGAACUGAGACACGGUCCAAACUCCUACGGGAGGCAGCAGUAGGGAAUAUUGCGCAAUGGGGGAAACCCUGACGCAGCAACGCCGCGUGGAGGAUGACACUUUUCGGAGCGUAAAACUCCUUUGUAGGGAAGGAUAAAGGCGGUCCUACGA
RNAcentral lists this ribosomal RNA (438 nucleotides) under Campylobacter gracilis. Its description in RNAcentral is "bacterial SSU rRNA". It matches the Rfam family "Bacterial small subunit ribosomal RNA", at positions 29 to 463 of the family's 1533-position model. Lineage: Bacteria; Pseudomonadati; Campylobacterota; Epsilonproteobacteria; Campylobacterales; Campylobacteraceae. The record is from RNAcentral.